This is a long non-coding RNA of Pecten maximus, 3720 nucleotides long. RefSeq lists it as uncharacterized. The transcript is spliced from 3 exons. The record is from RefSeq and is a predicted model, not a curated record. NCBI's taxonomy places the organism in Eukaryota, Metazoa, Mollusca, Bivalvia, Pectinida, Pectinidae.
AGUCCAUUUUCAUCUCUGUUGAAUUUUAAUGGAUAUAUUUGGAAAAAGAAAUUACUGUUCUAUAACUAAUUCUUUUGUCAAAUGAAAGAAAAUUGAACUUCAUAUGAGAUUUUCUUGGGUAGCCAAUAUUCUAAGUAUAACAUGGCUACAAUUUCUACCAAGUAUGCAGUUAGACUGGUGUAAUGUAGUGAUGUGUUACUGUGUAAAAACUUUCACUGUUAAACUUCCACCAGACUCCAGAACUAAGUUAAUUCCAUAAACGAGUUUCCUUACGCAAAUAAUAAAAAAUUAAUGAGUGGAAACCCAGAAUCUUGAGAGAGAUAAUUUAUUGAAGCUCUGUUUCGCCCCCAAAAGACACUUAACAUUGUUCACAGGUCGCGGAGGAAGGGGAAACUUCCAGAACCAGAACCAGAACCAGGAGAUUUCCACAGGAGGGUUCCGAGGGGGCAGAGGCAGGGGAUUCAGGGGCAGAGGCCAGGGAGGUAACCGUGGCUCAGGACAAAGCCCCAUGGGAAGGGGGCGUGGCCGAUUCCAGAGGGGACGUGGCCGUGGAGGUCAGAGAGGCAGAGGUCGCGGGGGUGUACAGACGCAAGUCAGCAAGGAAGACUUAGACAAUCAGUUGGACGUCUACAUGUCCAAGACCAAGAACUACCUUGAUAAUGAACUGGACGCCUACAUGCAACAGAGUGACAUCUGAAACAUUGGUUAAACAUCCGCGGGCAACAUCAGGAAACACUGAUAACAUCCGCUGCAAAUAUCAGGAAACACCAAUAACAUCCACGGGCAACAUCAGGAAACACCAAUAAUGUCGCACCAAAACAUCACUGCGUUAAACCACAACCUCUUAACCAUCAGGCCUGAUGUUAAUGUAUACUGAUGAAAAGAUACUCAUAACUGAAUGAUUUAAUAGAUGAUUAACUGAAUGAUAAAAUAGAUGAUUCAGUGGGAAAUGUUGCCCUAAAUCACCAUGCAGCAUUUUGUUGACAGUUUUGGAUGGAAAUUUUCUUCAAAAACUGAUGUAUUGAGUGUGAGAUACAUCACCUUUGUAGCUGUGAGAGGGUUGUAGGCUGUAUGGUCUGUCAACCUAGUGGAUCAUUGAACUUUCCACAUGAAUAUAGCAGGGCAAUACAGAAUACAUAUGAAGCUGAUCUGAAAAUGUUUGUCAGAAAAUUUUUAAUUUAUUGAAUCAAUAAGUCAUUUUGGUUUCUAUGUGAAUUCAGCAGGGUUUUAGCUAUAAAGGGGAUUGUCUUACUUCUAUAAACAAACAGCAAGGCUUCUGGGAUCUUACAUUAGACUAUUGGCUGUAGGCAACAACCUUGUCUUGUGUGGGAGGUUUGUGAAGAAUAGGGCGGUUGUGUUAUAUAUGGAACUGUUAACAGGACUUUUCAUUUUUGCAGUCCCAAUACAAGUUGUUUGUAUAAGAAAUAAGGACCCAGUGGUUCUAUUUUACUGUCAGAUAAGCUUCAACAACAAGUGUGGUUUGUCCUGAUAGAUAUGAAAUUCACUAUUCAUAAGCUGUUAAAUGAUUAUAUGUUGAGCUAGAAACAAGGCUUCAAGAUUUUUAAUUUCUUUAAUCUCGUAUGAAAUAAAAACAUUUUAAAUCUCUUUUUAUGAUAUUUCACAAACCCAAUUUAUGUGAAUAUAUUGUUUAUUUCUGUUUUCUCUAACCAUUAUUUAAAGCAAAUUUAAAGUCAAACUGAUGUCAAGGCUAUUUCAUAUCAAUUGUCUUACAAUAAAAUGUUAAAGUGAUACUCAGAUGUCUAUAACAUUUGCCAUGUGAUAAAUGAUCAAGUCAAGUUAAGUUAUGAAUGUUGAUAGGUAUUGAUUUGUAGGAUCGUUAACAUUGAUUACUGAUGAUUUUUGUUUAGAUAGCAGUAGACUAGUGUUGUAUGGCUGUUGGUGAAAACAGGUUUCUGUUGAAUACUGCCUUUUAACAUUUUAGCCCCAAUGUCAUCAGGAAAUGAGUUGUUAAGCUAGGGUAUAUGGUGUUCUCUACAGUAGAGAUUUUAUCCUAUACAAUAACAUCGUUUAGGUAAAAAAGGAAGAAAAAGAACCCUACAGUUUCAGAGGUUUGUGAUUUAUAUUUGUCAUAUUUGACAUAUUUUAGAUUAAUUUGAAGUCUUUCCCCAUCAAUUAAAUUUCACCUCAUACUUGAACACAAAUUUCACACAUCAAUUUCAUUUACUGCUGUCUGAAAAUAAAUGGCUGUGUAUUUGUGAGAGAAAAAAAGAAUAUCACCAAAACAACAGAUUUGAAAUGUUAUCUGAAAUAUUUUAUUUAUUAUGAUUUACCCAGUGCAAUAAUUAUAUAAGUAUAUAAGUAUAUAAGUACAAAUACAAUGGACUGUGUUAAUAUUUCUCUUGGUUUAUUUGUGAUGUGUUGGGAAAGGUUUUUUCUCUUAUUUAAUUAAUAUGAAUGAUAAAAGCUGGCGUCAUGUUUCUGAUAAAAAAGGAAUUAUGAAAUGAAAUCAAUUUGGGAGACAAUACGAGUCUUUGUGAAUUUCACAUACACAAAAGUGGUCACAUAAUUUGCAGGUGAGGGGAGCACACAGUUUUAAAUGAGAGAGCUUAUGCCUAGCACUGAAAACAACUGAAGUAAAGGCUCGGCAUAGGUAAUUAUGUUUUAAAAUCUGUACUACUUACCAAAUGGAUCUUAUGUUAUGAUCUGGAGCAGGGUUAGAUAUUAAGCCAGAUAUUUUCUCUGGGAGAAAACCUUGUUAGUGAUACAUGGACAAUGCUCGGCCUGUUUGAUAUUCCACAAACCUUCAAACAAAUCUUAAUGGAUACAAAUGUAAUUUUUACAGCUACCAAAUCUUGUUUAUAGAACUGUUAAAUCCAAUCUUUAUUGUUAAAUUUCACUGAACUUGUCUACAUUUUAAAUUUAAACAAAGUGUGAGCUGUCGUUGACAUGCAAAUGUGGAAGCAGGUCUUGGCCGAUGUCCGAUCUUUCUUCCUCUCCCUUCGUGUUAACAUAUGAUCCUAUAUUAUCUUUGUUUAAUCUUGUUGUUUUAUGUAUGACUAUAACUUUAGAUGUAUUUCAUGUACUGCUUUAAUUUUGCCUUAUACACAUAUCUAGGUGGUUUGUAAUGUAGAUGUGAAGUAGAAGGUCGCAUAUCUGAACCACUUUAGGGACACGUCAAUUUUGUUGUUAUGCAGAUAUCCACAAAUGUAAGCAUAUAUAUUUUAGCAUAUUUUAAUUUAAAUCCAAAUUAAAACGGAUCAGCAGUAUCAUCAGUCAGCACACCAAUAAUGAUUGCCAUAGAAAAAAAUGAAGAGAAACUACAAUUAGCACUAUCAUAAUAUUUUGGUAUUCUUCCAGUGCAAAAACCACUAAAAUUAUGUUACCACAAAAAAAAUAUACAAUUACUGUAUGUGUUGUAUAACAACAUGUUACAAAGCAAGGACAUGGCUGUAGGUCAGAUAAUUGAAAGGUCAAACAAAUUGUGUUCAGAUAGGCGACUAUCUACUGUUUUGUUUUCCCUUUAAAACUGUGUUGUUAGAGUAGGAGAGUGUGAGAAGGGGAAUUAUAGAAUUUGAUGUUAGAAGAUUUGUUGUAUGAUUACCUCCGUGAGACGGAACAAACAUUUGUAUGGAAAGAGAGCGUUCUGUUUUGUAGUCAGUACAAAGUAUGUGUGUAUUAUCAUAUGUUAAUAGUUUUCAUCACGGAAAGAAAGAUGCUGAGAAUUUGUAGAACUGAAUAAAUACACGUCAUCAUUUGUUA